AGAGUUUGAUCCUGGCUCAGGACGAACGCUGGCGGCGUGCCUAACACAUGCAAGUCGAACGGGGUAAGCUGCUUCGGUAGCUUACUUAGUGGCGAACGGGUGAGUAACGCGUGAGAAACCUGCCUUUCAGUGGGGGACAACAGUUGGAAACGACUGCUAAUACCGCAUAAUGUUAUUUGGGGGCAUCCCUGAAUAACCAAAGAUUUAUUGCUGAAAGAUGGUCUCGCGUCUGAUUAGCUAGUUGGUGAGGUAACGGCUCACCAAGGCGACGAUCAGUAGCCGGUCUGAGAGGAUGAACGGCCACAUUGGGACUGAGAUACGGCCCAGACUCCUACGGGAGGCAGCAGUGGGGAAUAUUGGGCAAUGGGGGAAACCCUGACCCAGCAACGCCGCGUGAAGGAAGAAGGCCUUCGGGUUGUAAACUUCUUUUAGCAGGGACGAAUUCUGACGGUACCUGCAGAAAAAGCAACGGCUAACUACGUGCCAGCAGCCGCGGU
Molecule: ribosomal RNA, 497 nt
Filed under: uncultured bacterium
Lineage: Bacteria
Description: bacterial SSU rRNA
Rfam family: Bacterial small subunit ribosomal RNA
Source: RNAcentral